GCUACUUAGUGGACGACGCUCUCAGGCUGGUCCGCAGUGAAGUCAGCGGCCAGCAGCAUAUAGACCCUCGUAAAUAGAUAAAAUGUCGCUCUCCGUCGUCCAGGUUGGCACUAAAACGGAACUAGGUUUUAAAGGGAACAGAAGUACAAAGUUGAGCCCACAACUCUGUCACGCUACAGGAACGUUGGCGGAGAUGACCUGACUCAUCAUGGAGGAGCUCCCAGCCUGAAACACACCACGUGGCAGAGAUGCCGUGUCUGAAGAUGGGAUUAUUGAUCCAUAUGUGGCCAAGAGUGGAAACGCGGAGAGCAUUCGUCAGAAUAUGUAUUUGCGGAGAAGUGCAGUAAUGCACCCUUGGUACUGAUCACUAAAGAAGCAUGGUUGUUGCUACAACUGAAAGGCCCGAGGAUGGUACGUUUGCACGCACACUGUUAUACACCGACAUGCAGCAUAAUUAGUAUUCCUAGCGGUGAUUAAGUCGCCACUGAGGCAUGGACGAAUUCUGUUCCAGCUUGUCUGUGGUGGAUACAGCCAGACACCAUGCAAAAGCCUAGUCACAUUUCUGCAUAAUGACUGGGUGAGUGCUUCCCUCGGCCUCAUCCAACUGUCCAGGAAUGAGUACAAUAAUACACUUAGAAAAUGAAGACGCUGCUCGACCACCAUUCAGGGCUUGUUUUUCGUAUUCAUCUUUAUUUUCUAAAUUCUGCAGUGGCUACUUCUGAAGAGGAACAGGAGAAAAGUAGUCGACUCCUUUUGUUCACGCUCCACGAGGGAAAGCAGUGUCUUGUGCUGAAAACUAGCUCCACCUGCCCUCAGAUGGUUGUUUGUACUUUAAAGCUGUACCCCACUCUUCUUUUGUAAUAAACUUGUAAAAGUGGUCAAAA
Molecule: long non-coding RNA, 884 nt
Organism: Anarrhichthys ocellatus (wolf-eel)
Lineage: Eukaryota; Metazoa; Chordata; Actinopteri; Perciformes; Anarhichadidae
Exons: 5
Source: RefSeq, a predicted model, not a curated record